RNAcentral lists this ribosomal RNA (524 nucleotides) under uncultured Ferribacterium sp. RNAcentral's name for it is "bacterial SSU rRNA". It matches the Rfam family "Bacterial small subunit ribosomal RNA", at positions 1 to 526 of the family's 1533-position model. The record is from RNAcentral. Lineage: Bacteria; Pseudomonadati; Pseudomonadota; Betaproteobacteria; Rhodocyclales; Azonexaceae.
UAGAGUUUGAUUCUGGCUCAGAUUGAACGCUGGCGGCAUGCCUUACACAUGCAAGUCGAACGGCAGCACGGGAGCAAUCCUGGUGGCGAGUGGCGAACGGGUGAGUAAUAUAUCGGAACGUGCCCAGUCGUGGGGGAUAACGCAGCGAAAGCUGUGCUAAUACCGCAUACGAUCUAUGGAUGAAAGCGGGGGAUCGCAAGACCUCGCGCGAUUGGAGCGGCCGAUAUCAGAUUAGCUAGUUGGUGGGGUAAAGGCCCACCAAGGCGACGAUCUGUAGCUGGUCUGAGAGGACGACCAGCCACACUGGAACUGAGACACGGUCCAGACUCCUACGGGAGGCAGCAGUGGGGAAUUUUGGACAAUGGGCGCAAGCCUGAUCCAGCAAUGCCGCGUGCAGGAUGAAGGCCUUCGGGUUGUAAACUGCUUUUGUACGGAACGAAACGGCUCUUUCUAAUAAAGAGGGCUAAUGACGGUACCGUAAGAAUAAGCACCGGCUAACUACGUGCCAGCCGCCGCGGUAAUAC